This 254-nucleotide ribosomal RNA is filed under the name uncultured bacterium. RNAcentral's name for it is "partial 16S ribosomal RNA". It matches the Rfam family "Bacterial small subunit ribosomal RNA", at positions 524 to 776 of the family's 1533-position model. The record is from RNAcentral.
UACGUAGGGUGCGAGCGUUUAAUCGGAAUUACUGGGCGUAAAGCGUGCGCAGGCGGUGAUGUAAGACCAGUGUGAAAUCCCCGGGCUUAACCUGGGAACUGCAUUGGUGACUGCAUCGCUGGAGUGCGGCAGAGGGGGAUGGAAUUCCGCGUGUAGCAGUGAAAUGCGUAGAUAUCGGGAGGAACACCGGUGGCGAAGGCGGCGAUCUGGGUCGAUACUGACGCUGAGGUGCGAAAGCGUGGGGAGCAAACAGG